Molecule: long non-coding RNA, 1095 nt
Filed under: Equus asinus (donkey)
Lineage: Eukaryota; Metazoa; Chordata; Mammalia; Perissodactyla; Equidae
Description: lncRNA (ENSEASG00005034213.1)
Source: RNAcentral
GAGCAGUGUGAGCUGGACGAGGGCUGGAAGUAUGAGGCUAUCUGGAUGUUAAGAAGAAGACUAGCUGAUGGAAGUGGGGUCACAUGAGGAAGUCAUGGGGCUGGCCUGGCAUGUCCUUCAUCCUUCUGUGGUUCAAAAAGAACAGGGACUGCACCAUAUACAACCCCCUGGGGGUUCCCCCAAGGUUCUGUCACAGGGUUUAACCACUUUGCUUUGGAGUCAGCCUGCUCGGGUUCAAAUCCUGACACCGCUACUUUAUUGCCCCAUGACCUUGGGCAAGUGACCUAACUGUGCCUGUUUCCUCAUCUGUUAAGCGAGGGUAAUAAUAGUCCCAACCUCACGGCCUUGUUGAAGAGAUCAAUAGGAAACGCCUGUCUGGUGCCUAGCCCAGCAGCCUUCCCCGCCCCCAAUGGUCUCAUCGCCCAUGCUCUCCCCACCUGUGCAGAGAAGCAGCGGUGCAAUGUCUCCAGGACCCAGGGAGCUGAGCAGGAGAGGGUGCUACCGCCCAAGGGGAAAGGGAUGGAAAGCAAGAGAGCUUCCUGGCAGAGGAGACCUUUGAGCUAUGAUUGGAUUCAAGUCUCAAAGUUCCAGGUUAUUCCGGGAAGGAGGUGUCCUGUCUCCCAGACCAGUUUGUCAGCUUCCCCAUGGUGGCACUGGCUCCAUACCUGGCACCCAAUGUCUCUUGGGGACUGCAGGGCUCCCAGGCCACAGGAGGACAACAAGUCCAGAGCCCAUGUCAUCAGACUUUCUCAAGUCACAGGCCAAAUUGGAGAGGCCACAUGCCCGAAGCCACCCAGAGGGGUCAAGCAAAGCCAGGACUCCAGGCAGCAAAUCUUCCUUAUGUCCUUCCUGCAUGUGAGGCCCUGAGCAGAGUGCCAGGGAUGAGGAGGAACAGACAGAGCAGCAGCUGCCCUCACCGCCCAGUGGCAGAUGUGAGCAAGUUAUCAACUCUAGCACAACAGGAGAGCCCUUACCUGCAGCUGGGGAGACCGGGGACCUCCUGGCUGAAGUGACCUUUAAGCCAAGGCCUCAAAGCUGAAGAGGAAUGUGUUUUCCCAAGAUAAAUGCAAAGGCUGAGGAUCAAGAAAAAAACAG